AUGGACUUAGGGUUUUCGGGCCCGAAGUUCACCUGGUGCAAUCGACAGGACCCAAACAGCCAUGUUAGAUGCCGACUUGACCGUGCCAUGGCCAACAAUGAUUUCUCCAAUCUGUUUGCUGCAUGUGAUGUUGAGAAUGUCAUCGCCACAUCUUUUGACCACAAACCAAUUCAUGUCUGCCUGGACCGCGGCUCUCGGCAACGUUGUGUGUCUCCGGUUCAGCAAGGUUUCAGAUUCGAGGCGAUGUGGCUGAGAGCCACGGACUACAAAGACAAUCUUGAGCAUGCUUGGUCGGCUGGUAGAGAUGGGCUCCUGCCGCUUCAGUCAACCUAGAAUAAUUUGAAGAAUGUGGCCAACUCCCUGCGGUCUUGGAGCAAAGAGGCUUUUGGUUCUGUUCGCAAGAAGAUCGGGUAGCUGGAGCGUCGCCUGGCCACUAUCAAGGCCUCCCCGCCCUCCCCGCCUUCUCUGGCGGAAGAGCGUCAGAUCAAGUGUUCGCUUUGUGAGCUCUUCGAACGGGAGGAAAUCAUGGAGAGACAACACUCCCGGGUGGAUUGGCUCAAGGAGGGGGAUCGUAACACCGGGUUUUUCCAAGCUCGGGCGGCUGCCAGGAGGAGAACCAACCGAAUUCACUCGCUCAGUCGGCACGAUGGCUCGGUUUGCUCCACUCAGGGUGAGAUCAAAGGUAUGGUGUAGACCUUCUAUGACAAGUUGUUCACUUCGGAUCCUUGUCCUGACGCCGAGGAGGUCCUGCAUGCGAUUCCACCCAAGGUUACUCCUGAGAUGAACGAGGAGCUCUGCAAACCCUAUUCCAUGGAGGAAAUCCGGGCUGCUCUCUUCCAAAUGGGGCCUACCAAGGCCCCGGGACCUAAUGGCUUCCCGACCUUGUUCUAUCAGACCCACUGGGAAUUCCUGGGAAAUGAUAUCUACCAUGUCGUUCGAGGCUUUCUGGAGGGGAGACCAAUUCCUGAAGGGUUUUGUGACUCGGUGAUUGUGCUUAUCCCAAAGACUACUCGACCGAAGCAGCUGAAGAAUUUCUGUCCAAUCAGCCUCUCCAAUGUGAUAUAUAAGAUAGCUUCCAACGUCUUGGCAAAUCGCCUAAAAUCGAUCCUGCAUGUGGUUGUGUCUGAGAGUCAGAGUGCCUUUGUUCCCAGCAGGUUGAUUACUGACAAUACUCUGAUCGCUUAUGAGUGUCUGCACACGAUCCGAAGGAAACGGGUGAAGAAACCUUUCUUUGCUCUAAAGAUUGACAUGAUGAAGGGCUACGAUCGUGUGGAGUGA
Molecule: ribosomal RNA, 1278 nt
Filed under: Triticum aestivum (bread wheat)
Lineage: Eukaryota; Viridiplantae; Streptophyta; Magnoliopsida; Poales; Poaceae
Description: partial small subunit ribosomal RNA
Source: RNAcentral